AGGGACUUAGGCUAAAAAGACCAAGGGCCUUCAAAGCCCUAAGCGGGAGUUAAACUCUCCCAGACCCUG
RNAcentral lists this transfer RNA (69 nucleotides) under Aulorhynchus flavidus (tube-snout). Its description in RNAcentral is "tRNA-Trp". It matches the Rfam family "tRNA". From Rfam's summary of the family: Transfer RNA (tRNA) molecules are approximately 80 nucleotides in length. Their secondary structure includes four short double-helical elements and three loops (D, anti-codon, and T loops). Further hydrogen bonds mediate the characteristic L-shaped molecular structure. tRNAs have two regions of fundamental functional importance: the anti-codon, which is responsible for specific mRNA codon recognition, and the 3' end, to which the tRNAs corresponding amino acid is attached (by aminoacyl-tRNA synthetases). tRNAs cope with the degeneracy of the genetic code in two manners: having more than one tRNA (with a specific anti-codon) for a particular amino acid; and 'wobble' base-pairing, i.e. permitting non-standard base-pairing at the 3rd anti-codon position. Lineage: Eukaryota; Metazoa; Chordata; Actinopteri; Perciformes; Aulorhynchidae. The record is from RNAcentral.